UACGAAGGGGGCUAGCGUUGUUCGGAAUUACUGGGCGUAAAGCGCACGUAGGCGAACAUUUAAGUCAGGGGUGAAAUCCCAGAGCUCAACUCUGGAACUGCCUUUGAUACUGGGUGUCUUGAGUAUGGAAGAGGUGAGUGGAAUUCCGAGUGUAGAGGUGAAAUUCGUAGAUAUUCGGAGGAACACCAGUGGCGAAGGCGGCUCACUGGUCCAUUACUGACGCUGAGGUGCGAAAGCGUGGGGAGCAAACAGG
This 253-nucleotide ribosomal RNA is filed under the name uncultured bacterium. RNAcentral describes it as "partial 16S ribosomal RNA". It matches the Rfam family "Bacterial small subunit ribosomal RNA", at positions 524 to 776 of the family's 1533-position model. The record is from RNAcentral.